RNAcentral lists this ribosomal RNA (497 nucleotides) under uncultured bacterium. RNAcentral describes it as "partial 16S ribosomal RNA". It matches the Rfam family "Bacterial small subunit ribosomal RNA", at positions 28 to 507 of the family's 1533-position model. The record is from RNAcentral.
GAUGAACGCUGGCGGCGUGCCUAAUACAUGCAAGUCGAGCGAACAGACGAGGAGCUUGCUCCUCUGACGUUAGCGGCGGACGGGUGAGUAACACGUGGAUAACCUACCUAUAAGACUGGGAUAACUUCGGGAAACCGGGGCUAAUACCGGAUAAUAUAUUGAACCGCAUGGUUCAAUAGUGAAAUACGGCUUUGCUGUCACUUAUAGAUGGAUCCGCGCCGCAUUAGCUAGUUGGUAAGGUAACGGCUUACCAAGGCAACGAUGCGUAGCCGACCUGAAAGGGGGAUCGGCCACACUGGAACUGAGACGCGGUCCAGACUCCUACGGGAGGCAGCAGUAGGGAACCUGCCGCAAUAGGCGAAAGCCUGACGGAGCGACGGCGCGUGAGUGAUGAAGGUCUUCGGAUCGUAAAACUCUGUUAUUAGGGAAGAACAAAUGUGUAAGUAACUAUGCACGUCUUGACGGUACCUAAUCAGAAAGCCACGGCUAACUACGUG